GACGAACGCUGGCGGCGUGCUUAACACAUGCAAGUCGAACGGAAAGGCCCUGCUUUUGUGGGGUGCUCGAGUGGCGAACGGGUGAGUAACACGUGAGUAACCUGCCCUUGACUUUGGGAUAACUUCAGGAAACUGGGGCUAAUACCGGAUAGGAGCUCCUGCUGCAUGGUGGGGGUUGGAAAGUUUCGGCGGUUGGGGAUGGACUCGCGGCUUAUCAGCUGUUGGUGGGGUAGUGGCUUACCAAGGCUUUGACGGGUAGCCGGCCUGAGAGGGUGACCGGCCACAUUGGGACUGAGAUACGGCCCAGACUCCUACGGGAGGCAGCAGUGGGGAAUAUUGCACAAGGGGCGGAAGCCUGAUGCAGCAACGCCGCGUGCGGGAUGACGGCCUUCGGGUUGUAAACCGCUUUCGCCUGUGACGAAGCGUGAGUGACGGUAAUGGGUAAAGAAGCACCGGCUAACUACGU
RNAcentral lists this ribosomal RNA (466 nucleotides) under uncultured bacterium. RNAcentral describes it as "partial 16S ribosomal RNA". It matches the Rfam family "Bacterial small subunit ribosomal RNA", at positions 28 to 506 of the family's 1533-position model. The record is from RNAcentral.